AACGAACGCUGGCGGCAGGCCUAAUACAUGCAAGUCGAACGCCCGUAGCAAUACGGGAGUGGCAGACGGGUGAGUAACGCGUGGGAACAUACCCUUUGGUACGGAACAACUCCGGGAAACUGGAGCUAAUACCGUAUGUGCCCUAUGGGGGAAAGAUUUAUCGCCAAAGGAUUGGCCCGCGUCUGAUUAGCUAGUUGGUGGGGUAACGGCCCACCAAGGCGACGAUCAGUAGCUGGUCUGAGAGGAUGAUCAGCCACACUGGGACUGAGACACGGCCCAGACUCCUACGGGAGGCAGCAGUAGGGAAUAUUGGACAAUGGGCGAAAGCCUGAUCCAGCCAUGCCGCGUGAGUGAUGAAGGCCUUAGGGUUGUAAAGCUCUUUCGGCGGGGACGAUAAUGACGGUACCCGCAGAAGAAGCCCCGGCUAACUUCGUG
This 435-nucleotide ribosomal RNA is filed under the name uncultured bacterium. RNAcentral describes it as "bacterial SSU rRNA". It matches the Rfam family "Bacterial small subunit ribosomal RNA", at positions 29 to 507 of the family's 1533-position model. The record is from RNAcentral. RNAcentral also lists the same sequence under 1 other name.